Non-coding RNA from Pelobates cultripes (western spadefoot toad), 754 nucleotides. NCBI's taxonomy places the organism in Eukaryota, Metazoa, Chordata, Amphibia, Anura, Pelobatidae. The record is from the annotation of a GenBank genome assembly.
CCUGAUCUCCGAUCUCCUCCACACAGACAUACCCCUGAACCCCUGGAUCUGGCUCCUUUCCAAGCCAUGGGAACCCCUGACUAGAGCACAAAACAAACUCAUGAACAGACUGGCCUUGGCAACUAGACUAGCAAUAGCAGAACUCUGGGGCACUCCCAAUAUACCCACACUAGCUAUAGUCAUACGCAAAACUAGGGAGGCCAUGGAAAUGGAUAGGCUCUCAGCCAAGAUCCACGAAACAUCACACCACUUUGAGACCCGUGGCUAAACGAACCCUCCCUAACAUGAGACCCCAAAGCAACAAAAAAACCCAAACACUAGGCCACACAACCGGACCCCACAUCCAUGCCACGAGGGAGGGGGGGCAUCAGCCUUUAUGACAAAAGGAGAUCCCAGGCACAAACUGAGGCAGAUGGCCCACAAAGGAGCUUGGCCGGGCAACCCAUGAGCAGGCCCAACACACAAGAUCACACCCAAGGAGCACGCUUGGCCCACAACAAACGGACCCAAAACACGCCCAUGCAUGGAACCGAAAUACCAAACUGGAACCCCUGAUACAUUAAACAGAACCACGACUCAAAGAAUUGCACCAAUUGUAUUUGUAUUUAUACUGGAACCCCUGAUACAUUAAACAGAACCAUGACUCAAAGAAUUGCACCAAUUGUAUUUGUAUUUAUACUUUUGUAUAUACGUGUUAUAUUUUGUGUUACCUUGUACGUAUAGUUCAUAGACAAUGUGGCAUAACAUGACGCAG